This 466-nucleotide ribosomal RNA is filed under the name uncultured bacterium. Its description in RNAcentral is "partial 16S ribosomal RNA". It matches the Rfam family "Bacterial small subunit ribosomal RNA", at positions 29 to 506 of the family's 1533-position model. The record is from RNAcentral.
ACGAACGCUGGCGGCGUGCUUAACACAUGCAAGUCGAACGGAAAGGCCCUGCUUUUGUGGGGUGCUCGAGUGGCGAACGGGUGAGUAACACGUGAGUAACCUGCCCUUGACUUUGGGAUAACUUCAGGAAACUGGGGCUAAUACCGGAUAGGAGCUCCUGCUGCAUGGUGGGGGUUGGAAAGUUUCGGCGGUUGGGGAUGGACUCGCGGCUUAUCAGCUUGUUGGUGGGGUAGUGGCUUACCAAGGCUUUGACGGGUAGCCGGCCUGAGAGGGUGACCGGCCACAUUGGGACUGAGAUACGGCCCAGACUCCUACGGGAGGCAGCAGUGGGGAAUAUUGCACAAUGGGCGGAAGCCUGAUGCAGCAACGCCGCGUGCGGGAUGACGGCCUUCGGGUUGUAAACCGCGUUCGCCUGUGACGAAGCGUGAGUGACGGUAAUGGGUAAAGAAGCACCGGCUAACUACGU